This 253-nucleotide ribosomal RNA is filed under the name uncultured bacterium. RNAcentral's name for it is "partial 16S ribosomal RNA". It matches the Rfam family "Bacterial small subunit ribosomal RNA", at positions 524 to 776 of the family's 1533-position model. The record is from RNAcentral.
UACAGAGGUCUCAACCGUUGUUCGGAUUUAUUGGGCGUAAAGAGCGCGUAGGCGGCCGAGUAAGUCCGACGUGAAAUCUGGAGGCUCAACCUCCAGCGGUCGUUGGAAACUACUCGGCUAGAGUCCGGAAGAGGAGAGUGGAAUUCCUGGUGUAGCGGUGAAAUGCGCAGAUAUCAGGAAGAACACCGAUGGCGAAAGCAGCUCUCUGGGACGGUACUGACGCUGAGGCGCGAAAGCGUGGGGAGCGAACAGG